UCGCCGGAAGAGGAGCCCGCGGCUGAUUAGCUAGUUGGUGAGGUAAAGGCUCACCAAGGCAUUGAUCGGUAGCCGGCCUGAGAGGGCACACGGCCACACUGGCACUGAAACACGGGCCAG
This 120-nucleotide ribosomal RNA is filed under the name uncultured bacterium. RNAcentral describes it as "partial 16S ribosomal RNA". It matches the Rfam family "Bacterial small subunit ribosomal RNA", at positions 215 to 334 of the family's 1533-position model. The record is from RNAcentral.